Biomphalaria pfeifferi is the source of this 210-nucleotide non-coding RNA. Lineage: Eukaryota; Metazoa; Mollusca; Gastropoda; Planorbidae. The record is from the annotation of a GenBank genome assembly.
AUGACAAGAGACCAAAAUCUUAGCUCAAAGCUAAGGAGGACAUGACAAAAGACCAAAAUCUUAGCUCAAAGCUAAGGAGGACAUGACAAAAGACCAAAAUCUUAGCCCAAAGCAAAGGAAGACAUGACAAGAGACCAAAAUCUUAACCCAAAGCAAAGGAAGACAUGACAAAAGACCAAAAUCUUAGCCCAAAGCAAAGGAAGACAUGAC